AUUGAACGCUGGCGGCCGGCCUAACACAUGCAAGUCGAGCGAGCGGCGGACGGGCGAGUAAUGCCUGGGAUACUGCCUGCUGGAGGGGGAUAACUACCGGAUACGGUCGCUAAUACCGCACACCAUCAGAUGUGCCUAGACGGGAUUAGAUAGUAGGUGGGGUAACGGCUCACCUAGGCGACGAACCCUAGCUGGUUUGAGAGGAUGACCAGCAACACUGGAACGGAGACACGGUCCAGACUCCUACGGGAGGCAGCAGUGGGGAAUAUUGCACAAUGGGCGCAAGCCUGAUGCAGCCAUGCCGCGUGUGUGAAGAAGGCCUUCGGGUUGUAAAGCACUUUCAGCGGGGAGGCGUUACCCGCAGAAGAAGCACCGGCUAACUCCGUGCCAGCAGCCGCGGUAAUUC
Molecule: ribosomal RNA, 406 nt
Filed under: uncultured bacterium
Lineage: Bacteria
Description: partial 16S ribosomal RNA
Rfam family: Bacterial small subunit ribosomal RNA
Source: RNAcentral